Non-coding RNA from Nicotiana sylvestris (wood tobacco), 96 nucleotides. The record is from Rfam. NCBI's taxonomy places the organism in Eukaryota, Viridiplantae, Streptophyta, Magnoliopsida, Solanales, Solanaceae.
UGGACAGAUUAUUGUAUUCGACUGUAUUCACGGCGUGAAACAGGGGAUUACGCUGUUUUUAAACGGAAAGUGAAUCAAUUAACAUAAUAGACUCCU